Long non-coding RNA from Rhinichthys klamathensis goyatoka, 463 nucleotides. RefSeq lists it as uncharacterized. The record is from RefSeq and is a predicted model, not a curated record. Lineage: Eukaryota; Metazoa; Chordata; Actinopteri; Cypriniformes; Leuciscidae. The transcript is spliced from 4 exons.
CACUGCUGUCCGUUAAAGCAGCAGUUAAUAGCUGCACACUCAGCACCACUGAUACCAGGUGGUCCACAUUGGAUCUGCUCAUAAUCAGCUACAGUACAUUUGUCAAGGGGCUCUGCCUGUGCCACUGGCUGCUUAGGCUGAAACUGCUGAGGAAACUGUUGACUAGCUUGCUGCUGAAACUGCUGAGGAAACUGUUGACUAGCUUGCUGUUGAACCGACUGGGGAAACUGUUGACUAGCUUGCUGCUGAAACUGCUGAGGAAACUGUUGACUAGCUUGCUGUUGAACCGACUGGGGAAACUGUUGACUAGCUUGCUGCUGAAACUGCUGAGGAAACUGUUGACUAGCUUGCUGUUGAACCGACUGGGGAAACUGUUGACUAGCUUGCUGUUGAACUGGCUGAGGAAACCGUUGACUAGUUUGUUGAACUGACUGGGGAAACUGUUGACUAGCUUGUUGAACUG